AAUCUCCGAGUGAGAUUGGUAUAUUUCUGAAAAUAUAGAGUUCUCCGUGCUUUCAAGUCGCUUUCAAUGUUGGGACUUUCGAAUCGACGAUCGGUUCCGUUAAAUUUGAUUUAGAGUAUUUUUAAGUAUCUAAAUAAUAAACUUUGCGAUUUUUUGAUAUCAUCUGCCUAGCAAUCAAAUGGCUCAAAAUCAAUAAUUUUAAUGGCCGUGGUGAGCUAUUUGCAAGUUUAACGGUAUAGAAAUAUUCAAAUCACGUGAAAUUUUGAUAGAAAUGUUUUUUAUACUAUAUAAAACAAGAUUGAUAUUUUUGAUCUGAAAUUCACAUUUGGUAAGAUUUUUAUUUUCAACCAUUGAUUUUGAAUCCCUUUGAUUACUAGGCAAAUGAUAUCGAAAAAUUAUAAAUUUUAUUUUUUAAGUACUUCAAAUACUCUAGAUCAAGUCUAGCGGAGCCGAUCAUCAAUUCGAAAAUCCAAUAUCAAAAGCGAUUGGAAAAUAUAGAGACUCUGUGUUUCCAGAAACAUACCGACCUCACUGCAAAUCUCCCCUCUUUAACAAUGCCUAAGAAUUUUUGUAAAUUCUAAAAUAAUUAAUACAACAAACCAUUCA
This 606-nucleotide long non-coding RNA is filed under the name Ananas comosus (pineapple). Its description in RNAcentral is "long non-coding RNA (ACOM_LNC027429)". Lineage: Eukaryota; Viridiplantae; Streptophyta; Magnoliopsida; Poales; Bromeliaceae. The record is from RNAcentral.